This 253-nucleotide ribosomal RNA is filed under the name uncultured prokaryote. RNAcentral describes it as "partial 16S ribosomal RNA". It matches the Rfam family "Bacterial small subunit ribosomal RNA", at positions 524 to 776 of the family's 1533-position model. The record is from RNAcentral.
CACGGGGGGAGCAAGCGUUGUUCGGAAUCACUGGGCGUAAAGGGCGUGUAGGCGGUCAAGUAAGUGGAAUGUGAAAUCCCCCGGCUUACCCGGGGACCUGCAUCCCAAACUGCUUGGCUUGAGUACGGGAGAGGAUGAGGGAAUUCCUGGUGUAGCGGUGAAAUGCGUAGAUAUCGUCAAGAACACCGAUAGCGAAGGCAGCUUACUAGGCUGUAACUGACGCUGAGGCACGAAAGUGUGGGGAUCAAACAGG